GGUUCGAUGGCGUAGUUGGUUAUCGCAUCUGUCUAACAUCCACUGUUGCACAGAAGGUCCCCAGUUCGAGCCUGGGUCGAAUCA
This is a non-coding RNA of Marasmius sp. AFHP31, 84 nucleotides long. Lineage: Eukaryota; Fungi; Basidiomycota; Agaricomycetes; Agaricales; Marasmiaceae. The record is from the annotation of a GenBank genome assembly.